Molecule: long non-coding RNA, 12591 nt
Filed under: Triticum aestivum (bread wheat)
Lineage: Eukaryota; Viridiplantae; Streptophyta; Magnoliopsida; Poales; Poaceae
Description: long non-coding RNA (TAES_LNC006138)
Source: RNAcentral
ACCUGGAUUUUGGAGCCCCAGGUGGACAUCCUCUUGACUCAGGGGAAUAAUGUGGCACUACAAACGGUCAUCUCUGCACAUGGUGCACCUUUGCCGAGGACGACAACAAUGCGCGAAUGAUCUCUUUGUCCCUCCCUCCUCCUGUUGAAUUUGAACAUGAAAUGAUAUGAGAUCAGGGAGGGAGAUCGCGAUGAUGUGAAGUGGAAGGAAGGAUAAUGGGACGAGAGUGGUGGUGUUAGCAGAUUAAAGGGACAGGGUGUACGAAACCAAGGCGACGAUGAAGGCGGAAGAAUGAGACCAGGAUAGCGGCGACGGUGACUAGGGUUUCUCAUAGAGAUGUAAGGGUACAUGCGCGUCUUGUGGUCUAAGUAUCGGUGAGUUCUUUUGGCCAAUUCUCCCAUAUUCUGCCUAUAUAUAUGUUGUAGUCACAUCUACCUAGGACACGUCACCCCAUGCCACUACAACCAAUAGAACACCCCGCAUUUGCAGGAAGUCUGUGUGGACCAGCCACUACACCUCGUGCAUCCACCACCGGCGUAGGUGUAUGAGAUAAAAUAAAUAAAAUAUCAAGGCGUGAGAGGGGCUAGGAGGUUAAUACUGAUUUACCUGAAGGAAAUAUGCCCUAGAGGCAAUAAUAAAGUUAUUAUUUAUUUCCUUAUAUCAUGAUAAAUGUUUAUUAUUCAUGCUAGAAUUGUAUUAACCGGAAACAUAAUACAUGUGUGAAUACAUAGACAAACAAAGUGUCACUAGUAUGCCUCUACUUGACUAGCUCGUUAAUCAAAGAUGGUUAUGUUUCCUAACCAUGAACAAUGAGUUGUUAUUUGAUUAACGGGAUCACAUCAUUAAGUGAAUGAUCUGAUUGACAUGACCCAUUCCAUUAGCUUAGCACCCGAUCGUUUAGUAUGUUGCUAUUGCUUUCUUCAUGACUUAUACAUGUUCCUAUGACUAUGAGAUUAUGCAACUCCCGUUUGCCGGAGGAACACUUUGUGUGCUACCAAACAUCACAACGUAACUGGGUGAUUAUAAAGGAGCUCUACAGGUGUCUCCAAAGGUACAUGUUGGGUUGGCGUAUUUCGAGAUUAGGAUUUGUCACUCCGAUUGUUGGAGAGGUAUCUCUGGGCCCUCUCGGUAAUGCACAUCACUUAAGCCUUGCAAGCAUUGCAACUAAUGAGUUAGUUGUGGGAUGAUGUAUUACAGAACGAGUAAAGAGACUUGCCGGUAACGAUAUUGAACUAGGUAUUGGAAUACCGACGAUCGAAUCUCGGGCAAGUAACAUACCGAUGACAAAGGGAACAACGUAUGUUGUUAUGCGGUCUGACCGAUAAAGAUCUUCAUAGAAUAUGUAGGAGCCAAUAUGAGCAUCCAGGUUCCGCUAUUGGUUAUUGACCGGAGACGUGUCUCGGUCAUGUCUACAUUGUUCUCGAACCCGUAGGGUCCGCACGCUUAAGGUUACGAUGACAGUUAUAUUAUGAGUUUAUGCAUUUUGAUGUACCGAAGUUUUUUCGGAGUCCCGUAUGUGAUCACGGACAUGACGAGGAGUCUCGAAAUGGUCGAGACAUAAAGAUUGAUAUAUUGGAAGCCUAUAUUUGGAUAUCGGAAGUGUUCCGGGUGAAAUCGGGAUUUUACCGGAGUACCGGGAGGUUACCGGAACCCCCCGGGAGGUACAUGGGCCUUAAUGGGCCUUAGUGGAAGAAGAGGAGAGGCGGCCAGGGCUGGGCCGCGCGCCCCUCCCCCCUAGUCCGAAUAGGACAAGGAGAGAGGGGUCCGGCGCCCACUUCCUUCUCUCUCUCUCUUUUCCCACCUCGCGAGUCCUAUUCUAACUAGGAUUGGGGGAGAAGUCCUACUCCCGGAGGGAGUAGGACUCCUCCUGGUGCGCCCUAUGUGGCCGGCCAGCCUCCCCCUCUUGGUUAUUUAUAUACGGAGGCAGGGGCACCCCAGAGAGACACAAGUUGAUCCAUGUGAUCUUAUUCUUAGCCGUGUGCGGCGCCCCUUGCCACCAUAGUCCUCGAUAAUAUUGUAGCGGUGCUUAGGCGAAGCCCUGCGACAGUAGUACAUCAAGAUUGUCACCACGCCGUCGUGCUGACGGAACUCUUCCCCGACACUUUGCUGGAUCGGAGUCCGGGGAUCGUCAUUGAGCUGAACGUGUGCUAAAACUCGGAAGUGCCGUAGUUUCGGUGCUUGAUCGGUCGGGCCAUGAAGACGUACGACUACAUCAACCAAACGCUUCUGUUGUCGAUCUACAAGGUACGUAGAUCACACUCUCCCCUCGUUGCUAUGCAUCACCAUGAUCUUGCGUGUGCGUAGGAGAAUUUUUGAAAUUACUACGUUCCCCAACAGUGGCAUCCGAGCCUAGGUUUUAUAUGUUGAUGUUAUAUGCACGAGUAGAACACAAGUGAGUUGUGGGUGAUAUAAGUCAUACUGAUUACCAGCAUGUCAUACUUUGGUUCGGCGGUAUUGUUGGACGAAGCGGCCCAGACCGACAUUACGCGUACGCUUACGCGAGACCGGUUCUCCCAACGUGCUCUGCACAGAGGUGGCUUGCGGGUGACAGUUUCUCCAACUUUAGUUGAACCAAGUGCGGCUACGCCCGGUGCUUGCCAAGGUUAAAACAGCACCAACUUGACAAACUAUCGUUGUGGUUUUGAUGCAUAGGUAAGAUUAGUUCUUGCUUAAGCCCGUAGCAGCCACGUAAAACUUGCAACAACAAAGUAGAGGAUGUCUAACUUGUUUUUGCAGGGCAUGUUGUGAUGUGAUAUGGUCAAGACAUGAUGCUAAAUUUUAUUGUAUGAGAUGAUCAUGUUCUGUAACCGAGUUAUCGGCAACUGGCAGGAGCCAUAUGGUUGUCGCUUUAUUGUAUGCAAUGCAAUCGCGAUGUAAUGCUUUACUUUAUCACUAAGCGGUAGCGAUAGUCGUGGAAGCACAAGCUUGGCGAGACGACAACGAUGCUACGAUGGAGAUCAAGGUGUCACGCCGGUGACGAUGGUGAAUCACGACGAUGCUUCGGAGAUGGAGAUCACAAGCACAAGAUGAUGAUGGCCAUAUCAUAUCACUUAUAUUGAUUGCAUGUGAUGUUUAUCUUUUAUGCAUCUUAUCUUGCUUUGAUUGACGGUAGCAUUAUAAGAUGAUCUCUCACUAAUUAUCAAGAAGUGUUCUCCCUGAGUAUGCACCGUUGCGAAAGUUCUUCAUGCUGAGACACCACAUGAUGAUCGGGUGUGAUAGGCUCUACGUUCAAAUACAACGGGUGCAAAACAGUUGCACACGCAGAAUACUCAGGUUAUACUUGACGAGCCAAGCAUAUACAGAUAUGGCCUCGGAACACGGAGACCGAAAGGUCGAGCGUGAAUCAUAUAGUAGAUAUGAUCAACAUAGUGAUGUUCACCAAUGAAACUACUCCAUCUCACGUGAUGAUCGGACAUGGUUUGGUUGAUUUGGAUCACGUAAUCACUUAGAGGAUUAGAGGGAUGUCUAUCUAAGUGGGAGUUCUUUAAGUAAAUUAACUGAACUUGAAUUUAUCAUGAAACUUAUUACCUGAUAAGUAUCUUGCUUGUUUAUGCUUGAUUGUAGAUAGAUGGCUCGUGCUAUUGUUCCGUUGAAUUUUAAUGCGUUCCUUGAGAAAGCAAAGUUGAAAGAUGAUGGUAGCAAUUACACGGACUGGGUCCAUAAGUUGAGGAUUAUCCUCAUUGUUGCACAGAAGAAUUACAUCCUGGAAGCACCGCUGGGUGCCAGGCCUGCUGCUGGAGCAACGCCGGAUGUUAUGAACGUCUGGCAGAGCAAAGCUGAUGACUACUCAAUAGUUUAGUGUGCCAUGCUUUACGGCUUAGAAUCGGGACUUCAACGACGUUUUGAACGUCAUGGAGCAUAUGAGAUGUUCCAGGAGUUGAAGUUAAUAUUUCAAGCAAAUGCCCGGAUUGAGAGAUAUGAAGUCUCCAAUAAGUUCUAUAGCUGUAAGCUGGAGGAGAACAGUUCUGUUAGUGAGCAUAUACUCAAAAUGUCUGGGUAUAAUAAUCACUUGAUUCAAUUGGGAGUUAAUCUUCCAGAUGAUUGCAUCAUUGACAGAAUUCUCCAAUCACUGCCACCAAGCUACAAGAGCUUCGUGAUGAACUAUAAUAUGCAAGGGAUGAAUAAGACUAUUCCCGAGCUCUUCGCGAUGCUGAAAGCUGCGGAAGUAGAAAUCAAGAAGGAGCAUCAAGUGUUGAUGGUCAACAAGACCACUAGUUUCAAGAAAAAGGGCAAAGGGAAGAAGAAGGGAAACUUCAAAAAGAAUAGCAAGCAAGUUGCUACUCAAGAGAAGAAACCCAAACCUGGACCUAAGCCUGAAACUGAGUGCUUCUACUGCAAGCAGACUGGUCACUGGAAGCGGAACUGCCCCAAGUAUUUGGCGGAUAAGAAGGAUGGCAAGGUGAACAAAGGUAUAUGUGAUAUACAUGUUAUUGAUGUGUACCUUACUAAUGCUCGCAGUAGCACCUGGGUAUUUGAUACUGGUUCUGUUGCUAAUAUUUGCAACUCGAAACAGGGACUACGGAUUAAGCGAAGAUUGGCUAAGGACGAGGUGACGAUGCGCAUGGGAAACGGUUCCAAAGUCGAUGUGAUCGCAGUCGGCACGCUACCUCUACAUCUACCUUCGGGAUUAAUAUUAGACCUAAAUAAUUGUUAUUUGGUGCUAGCGUUAAGCAUGAACAUUAUAUCUGGAUCUUGUUUGAUGCGAGACGGUUAUUCAUUUAAAUCAGAGAAUAAUGGUUGUUCUAUUUAUAUGAGUAAUAUCUUUUAUGGUCAUGCACCCUUGAAGAGUGGUCUAUUCUUAUUGAAUCUCGAUAGUAGUAACACACAUAUUCAUAAUGUUGAAACCAAAAGAUGCAGAGUUGAUAAUGAUUGUGCAACCUAUUUGUGGUACUGCCGUUUAGGUCAUAUCGGUGUAAAGCGCAUGAAGAAAGUCCAUACUGAUGGACUUUUGGAGCCACUUGAUUAUGAACCACUUGGUACUUGCGAACCGUGCCUCAUGGGCAAGAUGACUAAAAUACCGUUCUCCGGUACUAUGGAGAGAGCAACAAAUUUGUUGGAAAUCAUACAUACAGAUGUAUGUGGUCCGAUGAAUAUUGAGGCUCGUGGCAGAUAUCGUUAUUUUCUCACCUUCACAGAUGACUUAAGCAGAUAUGGGUAUAUCUACUUAAUGAAACAUAAGUCUGAAACAUUUGAAAAGUUCAAAGGAUUUCAGAGUGAAGUUGAAAAUCAUCAUAACAAGAAAAUAAAGUUUCUACGAUCUGAUCGUGGAGGAGAAUAUUUGAGUUACGAGUUUGGUGUACAUUUGAAAAAUUGUGGAAUAGUUUCGCAAUUCACGCCACCCAGAACACCACAGCGUAAUGGUGUGUCCGAACGUCGUAAUCGUACUUUACUAGAUAUGGUGCGAUCUAUGAUGUCUCUUACUGAUUUACCGCUAUCGUUUUGGGGAUACGCUCUAGAUACGGCCGCAUUCACAUUAAAUAGGGCACCAUCAAAAUCCGUUGAGACGACGCCUUAUGAACUGUGGUUUGGCAAGAAACCAAAGUUGUCAUUUCUGAAAGUUUGGGGCUGCGAUGCUUAUGUGAAAAAGAUUCAACCUGAUAAGCUCGAACCCAAAUCGGAGAAAUGUGUCUUCAUAGGAUAUCCAAAGGAGACUAUUGGAUACACCUUCUAUCACAGAUCCGAAGGCAAGACUUUUGUUGCUAAAUUUGGAAACUUUCUGGAGAAGGAGUUUCUCUCGAAAGAAGUGAGUGGGAGGAAAGUAGAACUUGACGAGGUAAAUGUACCUGCUCCCUUAUUGGAAAGUAGUGCAUCACAUAAAACUGUUUCUGUGACACCUACACCGGUUAGUGAGGAAGCUAAUGAUGAUGAUCAUGAAACUUCAGAACAAGAUACUACUGAACCUCGUAGAUCAACCAGAGUAAGAUCCGCGCCAGAGUGGUACGGUAAUCCCGUUCUGGAAGUCAUGCUACUAGAUCAUGAUGAACCUACGAACUAUGAAGAAGCGAUGGUGAGCCCAGAUUCCGCAAAGUGGCUUGUAGCCAUGAAAUCUGAGAUGGGAUCCAUGUAUGAGAACAAAGUAUGGACUUUGGUUGACUUGCCCGAUGAUCGGCAAGCAAUUGAGAAUAAAUGGAUCUUCAAGAAGAAGACUGACGCUGACGGAAAUAUUACUGUCUACAAAGCUCGACUUGUCGCAAAAGGUUUUCGGCAAGUUCAAGGGAUUGACUACGAUGAGACCUUCUCACCCGUAGCGAUGCUUAAGUCUGUCCGAAUCAUGUUAGCAAUUACCGCAUUUUAUGAUUGUGAAAUUUGGUAGAUGGAUGUCAAAACUGCAUUCCUGAAUGGAUUUCUGGAAGAAGAGUUGUAUAUGAUGCAACCAGAAGGUUUUGUCGAUCCAAAGGGAGCUAACAAAGUGUGCAAGCUCCAGCGAUCCAUUUAUGGACUGGUGCAAGCCUCUCGGAGUUGGAAUAAACGCUUUGAUAGUGUGAUCAAAGCAUUCGGUUUUAUACAGACUUUUGGAGAAGCAUGUAUUUACAAGAAAGUGAGUGGGAGCUCUAUAGCAUUUCUGAUAUUAUAUGUAGAUGACAUAUCACUGAUUGGAAAUGAUAUAGAAUUUCUGGAUAGCAUAAAGGGAUACUUGAAUAAGAGUUUUUCAAUGAAAGACCUCGGUGAAGCUGCUUACAUAUUAGGCAUUAAGAUCUAUAGAGAUAGAUCAAGACGCUUAAUUGGACUUUCACAAAGCACAUACCUUGACAAAGUUUUGAAAAAGUUCAAAAUGGAUCAAGCAAAGAAAGGGUUCUUGCCUGUGUUACAAGGUGUGAAGUUGAGUAAGACUCAAUGCCCGACCACUGCAGAAGAUAGAGAGAAAAUGAAAGACGUUCCCUAUGCUUCAGCCAUAGGAUCUAUCAUGUAUGCAAUGUUGUGUACCAGACCUGAUGUGUGCCUUGCUAUAAGUCUAGCAGGGAGGUACCAAAGUAAUCCAGGAGUGGAUCACUGGAUAGCGGUCAAGAACAUCCUGAAAUACCUGAAAAGGACUAAGGAUAUGUUUCUCAUAUAUGGAGGUGACAAAGAGCUCAUCGUAAAAGGUUAUGUUGGUGCAAGCUUUGACACUGAUCCAGACGAUUCUAAAUCGCAAACCGGAUACGUGUUUACGUUAAACGGUGGAGCUGUCAGUUGGUGCAGUUCUAAACAAAGCGUUGUAGCGGGAUCUACAUGUGAAGCGGAGUACAUGGCUGCUUCGGAAGCAGCAAAUGAAGGAGUCUGGAUGAAGGAGUUCAUAUCCGAUCUAGGUGUCAUACCUAAUGCAUCGGGUCCAAUGAAAAUCUUUUGUGACAAUACUGGUGCAAUUGCCUUGGCAAAGGAAUCCAGAUUUCACAAGAGAACCAAGCACAUCAAGAGACGCUUCAAUUCCAUCUGGGAUCUAGUCCAAGUGGGAGACAUAGAGAUUUGCAAGAUACAUACGGAUCUGAAUGUUGCAGACCCAUUGACUAAGCCUCUUCCACGAGCAAAACAAGAUCAACACCAAGGCUCCAUGGGUGUUAGAAUCAUUACAGUGUAAUCUAGAUUAUUGACUCUAGUGCAAGUGGGAGACUGAAGGAAAUAUGCCCUAGAGGCAAUAAUAAAGUUAUUAUUUAUUUCCUUAUAUCAUGAUAAAUGUUUAUUAUUCAUGCUAGAAUUGUAUUAACCGGAAACAUAAUACAUGUGUGAAUACAUAGACAAACAAAGUGUCACUAGUAUGCCUCUACUUGACUAGCUCGUUAAUCAAAGAUGGUUAUGUUUCCUAACCAUGAACAAUGAGUUGUUAUUUGAUUAACGGGAUCACAUCAUUAAGUGAAUGAUCUGAUUGACAUGACCCAUUCCAUUAGCUUAGCACCCGAUCGUUUAGUAUGUUGCUAUUGCUUUCUUCAUGACUUAUACAUGUUCCUAUGACUAUGAGAUUAUGCAACUCCCGUUUGCCGGAGGAACACUUUGUGUGCUACCAAACAUCACAACGUAACUGGGUGAUUAUAAAGGAGCUCUACAGGUGUCUCCAAAGGUACAUGUUGGGUUGGCGUAUUUCGAGAUUAGGAUUUGUCACUCCGAUUGCCGGAGAGGUAUCUCUGGGCCCUCUCGGUAAUGCACAUCACUUAAGCCUUGCAAGCAUUGCAACUAAUGAGUUAGUUGCGGGAUGAUGUAUUACAGAAUGAGUAAAGAGACUUGCCGGUAACGAGAUUGAACUAGGUAUUGGAAUACCGACGAUCGAAUCUCGGGCAAGUAACAUACCGAUGACAAAGGGAACAACGUAUGUUGUUAUGCGGUCUGACCGAUAAAGAUCUUCGUAGAAUAUGUAGGAGCCAAUAUGAGCAUCCAGGUUCCGCUAUUGGUUAUUGACCGGAGACGUGUCUCGGUCAUGUCUACAUUGUUCUCGAACCCGUAGGGUCCGCACGCUUAAGGUUAUGAUGACAGUUAUAUUAUGAGUUUAUGCAUUUUGAUGUACCGAAGUUUGUUCGGAGUCCCGGAUGUGAUCAUGGACAUGACGAGGAGUCUCGAAAUGGUCGAGACAUAAAGAUUGAUAUAUUGGAAGCCUAUAUUUGGAUAUCGGAAGUGUUCCGGGUGAAAUCGCGAUUUUACCGGAGUACCGGGAGGUUACCGGAACCCCCCGGGAGGUACAUGGGCCUUAAUGGGCCUUAGUGGAAGAAGAGGAGAGGCGGCCAGGGCUGGGCCGCGCGCCCCUCCCCCCUAGUCCGAAUAGGACAAGGAGAGAGGGGGCCGGCGCCCACUUCCUUCUCUCUCUCUCUCUUUUCCCACCUCGCGAGUCCUAUUCCAACUAGGAUUGGGGGAGAAGUCCUACUCCCGGAGGGAGUAGGACUCCUCCUGGCGCGCCCUAUGUGGCCGGCCAGCCUCCCCCUCUUGGUUCUUUAUAUACGGAGGCAGGGGCACCCCAGAGAGACACAAGUUGAUCCACGUGAUCUUAUUCUUAGCCGUGUGCGGCGCCCCCUGCCACCAUAGUCCUCGAUAAUAUUGUAGCGGUGCUUAGGCGAAGCCCUGCGAUAGUAGUACAUCAAGAUCGUCACCACGCUGUCGUGCUGACGGAACUCUUCCCCGACACUUUGCUGGAUCGGAGUCCGGGGAUCGUCAUCAAGCUGAACGUGUGCUAAAACUCGGAGGUGCCAUAGUUUCGGUGCUUGAUCGGUUGGGCCGUGAAGACGUACGACUACAUCAACCAAACGCUUCCGUUGUCGAUCUACAAGGUACGUAGAUCACACUCUCCCCUCGUUGCUAUGCAUCACCAUGAUCUUGCGUGUGCGUAGGAGAAUUUUUGAAAUUACUACGUUCCCCAACAUUACCACCCUAUGAUAUGGUUGGACAUGGUAAGUCAAGUCACUGUUCAUUUGGCAAAAGUGUACAUAGAUGGGUGUCGAAUUAGAUCAAGACACAUAGUACAAAUGAUGUGGCAGGUUGAUAACCGGAUCGUGACAAAUAGGACAAGAAGCGCGUCCUAACUGUUGGCAUGAUUUAUGGACAUAUGCCAUUUUGCAGGAAAAAAUAGCUGGUAUUUUCAUUAAUGGGCUUUCUAUAAGAAUGGGGUAAAUAUUCCACCAAUAUAUGCGAUAUUUAAUCUUCCUAAUUAGGAAGGCGUUUCACAUGCUUGGCACGCGGAUAAAAUGGGUAAUAACACAUGCCAUCCCGGGAUGAAGUUGUGCUAGAGAUAGAGCCGCCUGACCUAGAUUCAGGGGUUGGUGGUGGACAACUUCUUGACACCAAGGAAGAUGGUGGCACCAUGGAUGGUUGUCUAUGUGCCCCCACGCUCCUCCUCUGAGGAAGAUUGCGACGGCGCCUGUGAAUGGCCUCUUUGUCCCUUGCUCCUCGUGUGAGUCUAUAGGCAGACGAACUGGUGACUAAGGAGGAAGGUGAUGGAGAUGCCACAAGGGAGGAAUACAACCCUAACCCUAGUGUGUCACCGCCACCAACUGCACACAAAGCACAAUACUAUUCUCUAGUGCCCCCUCCCCCCGGCUUUCCCCAUCGUUGUGCCGCUAACCCUAUCGAAGCCUAGUCGCGUCCAAUCACGCCUUCUCCUUAAGGACGUGUCAACUCCUUCGAGCCAGAACACCAAAGCAAAACAAACUAAAUGGCGAAUCAUACUUUUGCACCUAAGCACAAAAUGACUAAGCAAUUGUGUGCAACACUACUAGAUCUAGAUGUUGACGAAGCAUAAUAUCGAGGGUGAUGCGUGGUGGCCAAAGAGAUGACGACGUGGGGUACAAGGUGGCGGAGGCAUCUCGCUUGCGUUUGACUCCAUUGGAUUUUGCUUCUUGAUUGACCAUGGGAGGCAUAUACAUUGGGAAGACCUGAGGAAGGAUCUCGAUCUUGCACCGCGCUGCUGCGGAAGGGGCGCAAGUGUUGAUGGCUUAAUAGGAUUGGAGGGCCCUAGUUUUGAUGUCCUUAUUAUUUCCCCAAGGUGGAUUAUAUUCGGAAGUCUUAUAUAUUUCCACUCUUCUUACACGGCAAUGCGCUCUUGCAAGAAACAAAUUUCUAUCAGACCAGGCCUAACUAGUUGGAGAGUUAUUUUCCAUCCGAGUAGAAGGCACUAACAAUUUCAAUCUUAGAGUAUCGCCAACAGUCGUCCUAUAAUAAGUGUGAGUCAUUUUUAGGGCUUUAGGGCGCAAAGAGCCAAAAAGGCCUCCAACCGAUGCCCAAUUCUAAAUUUCUUGCAAAAUCUUUUUUAGGCAGCCCUAAAAGAGGCUCAUUGUGCGACAAAUUUGGGGCACUUCGGCGCCUGCCCAAAAACAUGAGGCUACUUCCGGGCGCCUUCAUGCAACCGAAAAUCCUUGGAUCCGUUCGGUGGCCGGGCCCCCAACCCGAAUAUGCUUGCUGCUCCCUUCUAAUUUUAGAGUAGCUGUUGGAGCAGUUUUGCCCUAUUUCAUGAAUUUUUAUUUAUUUAUUAUAGGGCUACUGUUGGAGAAGGCGCUUGCUUGUGUAAAAAGAGAAGAAGGUUUUUGUGCCUAAUUCUUUUUACUCCAUCAUGUUUUCGUGCCCUAUUAUAGAGCUGUCGUUGGAGAUGCUCAUAGUGCAUUCAGUCCCGCUUGUAGAGUAUACGUGGACACCGCCACGCACGCAGGUAGUGUCAGUGUCUGCAGCCAAGGACACAUCAUCCCAAAGCCACGGCAACCUAUUGGACACCGCCACGCGUGCAGGAAGUCUACGUGGCCUCUCGCGCAUCAGCGGCCGAUCAGCGCGCAACCGACGGCAGGGAUAAACCCACGUCGAAACCACAAAAUAAAUAAAAUCUCUCGUAAUUAAAGGUCAGCACGAAGCAACCCCUCCUCAAAUGGCAACUCCCCCGAUCCCGAAGACGACGCUCCGAGUCGGCUCCCACUGAUCGCUUCUAGAAGCUUCCACAAAGCUCCGGCCCGCCGCCAUGGCCGCGCCCUUCUUCUCCACCCCCUUUCAGCCCUACGUCUACCAGGUCGGUGCUGCUCCCUCAUCUCGCACGUUUCUCGUCCCCGCGUAGAUUCUAGGUCUUGAUUCGAGGUCGCGGGGCUGGAUCCGCACGAUCCGUGCCGCUCUGCUCCCGAUUGGGCCCCCUCUCAUGAUCUGAUUCGGUUUGAAUUGCGUGGUUCCCCUUUUUCAGAGCCAACAGGGAUCUGUGACGGCGUUUCAGAUAUCCGGUGGGGAUGUGCAGGUCCUGCAGGUAGUUUCCCGUGCCUAAUUCUCGCUCGCCUGUUCUAUAUUCAGAUGGAUCGAGUUGUCAUCAUUUCUAAUUACUUGUGGGGGGAAAAUGCUUUUUAGGUGAUGGUGAAGUCGCAGGACAAGUUGACUGCGAAACCAGGUAAUUGAACCGACUCGUUUCUAUUCUGCGGCUGAAAUUUGCAGCUUGCAAGCUUAACAAGGUGACAUGCCGAAUACAUGUUUAGCCUGGUAUUCAUGUGGCACUUGGCAGAAAUUAUUAAAAAGUUAUACCCCUAGUUUCAAUUGUAUAGUAUCCUUAAACCAUCUUAAUGUUUUGUAUACCUAUUUGGCAUGUCCACUACGGUUUUGUUCAAUAACGCCUUGAAAAAUCAUUGUGCAUCAGCCGUGUGUUGAUAGUUGUUACUGCAAGGUGCUUCAUCGCGUCGCGUAUUUUCUUUCUAUGUAUGAUGUGCCUCUCAUAGAGGUUGUUUGCGUGUACCCUUUUUUCUUCUCAUUGCUGUCAAUGUUCAGGAUUUUGGUAACUGUUAGCUGCUUGGUCCGGUGCCGAGUAGGGAUUAAUCGGCGAAUCAUCCUAUUAACUGAAUUAUCGAUAACCCAUUUCUCGGUAGGUUAACUAGGGCCGUAUUGAUAUAUCCUAGGCUACAUGGCAACAUACGAUGUACUAAACGUCCGAAUAUGCAAUCCUGGGCUACAUAGUUACAUACACAUCACCAAUCUUCAUAGAUCACAUAGGAGAGGGGAGAUUACCUUGAUGCUUGAGGAAGCCAUGGACAGAGGAGGGGAGGAGCAGGCGAUGAAACAGGAAGAAAUAGCAAGCUUGGGGAAGCAAUCUGGAAGACGGCGCCGUUGGCUGGUCGGUGAGGAGGCGGCGAGCUCGGGGGCGGGGGCACUGGCUGCUCCUUGUUGCUGGAUGAGGGGAGG